This 465-nucleotide ribosomal RNA is filed under the name uncultured Klebsiella sp. RNAcentral describes it as "bacterial SSU rRNA". It matches the Rfam family "Bacterial small subunit ribosomal RNA", at positions 338 to 795 of the family's 1533-position model. Lineage: Bacteria; Pseudomonadati; Pseudomonadota; Gammaproteobacteria; Enterobacterales; Enterobacteriaceae. The record is from RNAcentral.
CCUACGGGUGGCAGCAGUGGGGAAUAUUGCACAAUGGGCGCAAGCCUGAUGCAGCCAUGCCGCGUGUGUGAAGAAGGCCUUCGGGUUGUAAAGCACUUUCAGCGGGGAGGAAGGCGUUAAGGUUAAUAACCUUGGCGAUUGACGUUACCCGCGGAAGAAGCACCGGCUAACUCCGUGCCAGCAGCCGCGGUAAUACGGAGGGUGCAAGCGUUAAUCGGAAUUACUGGGCGUAAAGCGCACGCAGGCGGUCUGUCAAGUCGGAUGUGAAAUCCCCGGGCUCAACCUGGGAACUGCAUUCGAAACUGGCAGGCUAGAGUCUUGUAGAGGGGGGUAGAAUUGCAGGUGUAGCGGUGAAAUGCGUAGAGAUCUGGAGGAAUACCGGUGGCGAAGGCGGCCCCCUGGACAAAGACUGACGCUCAGGUGCGAAAGCGUGGGGAGCAAACAGGAUUAGAUACCCGGGUAGUC